GAGACAUUGCAGGGAAUUCAGAUCAUCACCUUCAGGAGCAGUUAUGGUUGCUAAUUGGAAGAUUUUGUUGCACCAUCAAUCAUAACAUACUGCUAGAAAAAUUGCGUGCUUUUGGAUUACAUCCUGGAUUCCUUGGGAGUGUUCAGCACAGCUGUGCAACAAGAAAUGUGUGUACAGGUGAUAUAAAACUUUAUAAGCAUUCAGAAAGAAAAGUGCUGUCUUGAACAGUAUUUAUGUUCAAGUAGCAUUGGACAUAUAUGAUUGCAAUUUUCACAUCAAGGCAUUUGUUGAAGAUGUUCUCCUCACCUCACACUGAGAUGAAACUUAGAACGGUGCUGCCCAAGACUGUGGAGUAAAGAUCAACUCAUACAGGUCAACAUGCUUGGAAAGAAAGAAAAAGAGAAAGCAAGGAAAGGAAUUGAAGGCUUCUGGUGAUAUUUCUAAUCCUUCUCACAGAGGAUCUGAUCAAUUUAAAUGAUUGCAUAAGACAAACUAAUUCUGUUAGUAGUGCAGACCU
Molecule: long non-coding RNA, 517 nt
Filed under: Anser brachyrhynchus (Pink-footed goose)
Lineage: Eukaryota; Metazoa; Chordata; Aves; Anseriformes; Anatidae
Description: lncRNA (ENSABRG00000022543.1)
Source: RNAcentral